AGUGAACGCUGGCGGUAGGCCUAACACAUGCAAGUCGAACGGCAGCACAGUAAGAGCUUGCUCUUACGGGUGGCGAGUGGCGGACGGGUGAGGAAUACAUCGGAAUCUACUUUUUCGUGGGGGAUAACGUAGGGAAACUUACGCUAAUACCGCAUACGACCUACGGGUGAAAGCAGGGGAUCUUCGGACCUUGCGCGAUUGAAUGAGCCGAUGCCGGAUUAGCUAGUUGGCGGGGUAAAGGCCCACCAAGGCGACGAUCCGUAGCUGGUCUGAGAGGAUGAUCAGCCACACUGGAACUGAGACACGGUCCAGACUCCUACGGGAGGCAGCAGUGGGGAAUAUUGGACAAUGGGCGCAAGCCUGAUCCAGCCAUACCGCGUGGGUGAAGAAGGCCUUCGGGUUGUAAAGCCCUUUUGUUGGGAAAGAAAAGCAGCAGGUUAAUACCCCGCUGUUCUGACGGUACCCAAAGAAUAAGCACCGGCUAACUCCGUG
RNAcentral lists this ribosomal RNA (492 nucleotides) under uncultured bacterium. RNAcentral's name for it is "partial 16S ribosomal RNA". It matches the Rfam family "Bacterial small subunit ribosomal RNA", at positions 29 to 507 of the family's 1533-position model. The record is from RNAcentral.